CAGACACUGGCAAGUCAUUCUGCUCGCUCAGGACCCCUUCAGUCCUCUACUUAAGCUGGACUGUGAUGGUCAUCUGUGAGUCAGAAUUUGACAGUAAUUUCUUCACAGAAUUCUCACCCAGGAAGCUCGUGAAGUGGAGAGGGCUCCUGGAUGCUUGCUUUAGAAACAACAGACUUCACCAGGGCAGUUUUUAAUGACCUGUAUUAAACUCAUCUCUUCGGAUCUGGCCACAUGACAGUCUCUCAUUGGCCUGGAACUUGCCAAGUAGACUAGACUAGCUGCCUAGAAACCCCAAGGACCUGCUUGUCUCUGCCUUCCCUGAGCUGAGAGUAUAAGAGCAUGUCACCUGAUCAGCUUUUUUUCAUGUGCAUUCUGGGGAUCAAUCUCAGGUCUUCAUGCUUUCAUGGCACUGUAGGAGGAUGGGAAGAAGACAUUACCACAUCCUCACCACCAAGAAUGACCAUUCACUCCAGAACUCCAUACUAUAGGACUUGAUUAUGAAGAUGAAAGGAACUCUCCAGACCAAUAUGUUUGAAUAUGGAGAAAGAUCCAGAGACAGCAUCAAUGCUUCAGCGGGCUAGUGGUCCUAGAGGUCAUUUUUAGGAAAUCUUUGGUAGAGUGCAUCUACAUUGGGCAUGGUGCUAAAGAGACUGACACUGUUCAUGUUCAACUCUAGCUGUGUAAUCUCAGGUAAAUUACUAAUAUGUGUUAUGCCUCAAGUUGCUGUCCUGUAAUAUGGGAAUAAAAAUGGAACUUAUCUCCAAAAAAUAUUGUGAGGAUGUAGGGAAUUAAUGUAUUAUGUAACAUUCAUAUAAAUGCUUAGCAAGU
This is a long non-coding RNA of Nannospalax galili (Upper Galilee mountains blind mole rat), 828 nucleotides long. RefSeq lists it as uncharacterized. The transcript has 4 exons. The record is from RefSeq and is a predicted model, not a curated record. Lineage: Eukaryota; Metazoa; Chordata; Mammalia; Rodentia; Spalacidae.